This 373-nucleotide ribosomal RNA is filed under the name uncultured bacterium. Its description in RNAcentral is "bacterial SSU rRNA". It matches the Rfam family "Bacterial small subunit ribosomal RNA", at positions 527 to 898 of the family's 1533-position model. The record is from RNAcentral.
AGAGGGUGCGAGCGUUGUCCGGAAUCACUGGGCGUAAAGGGCGCGUAGGCGGCCUGAUAAGUCGGGGGUGAAAUCCUGUGGCUCAACCACAGGGCUGCCUCCGAGACUGUCGGGCUCGAGCACAGUAGAGGCAGGUGGAAUUCCCGGUGUAGCGGUGGAAUGCGUAGAGAUCGGGAAGAACAUCGGUGGCGAAGGCGGCCUGCUGGGCUGUUGCUGACGCUGAGGCGCGACAGCGUGGGGAGCAAACAGGAUUAGAUACCCUGGUAGUCCACGCCGUAAACGAUGGGCACUAGGCGUCGGGGGGAGCGACCCUCCCGGUGCCGUCGCUAACGCAGUAAGUGCCCCGCCUGGGGAGUACGGCCGCAAGGCUGAA